This is a long non-coding RNA of Bombus terrestris (buff-tailed bumblebee), 4105 nucleotides long. RefSeq lists it as uncharacterized. The record is from RefSeq and is a predicted model, not a curated record. The transcript has 2 exons. Lineage: Eukaryota; Metazoa; Arthropoda; Insecta; Hymenoptera; Apidae.
GGAAGACACUAACUUCUAUGUGCCUUUAUUUACAUGGUAUUCACACACGCAUAAAAGAAGAGAUCAAAGAACGCUGAUUGGUUGAAUAAAACAUCAGUUCUUGAUCACUAACUAAUGAAUAUCAUUUCUGAUGAUCAGGUUGGUAUCCAUGCCGCCUCCAGUACAGCGCGCGAAAAAUUGAAAACAAUUAUCAGAGUAUAAGAGCACAAGAGCAGAAUAUCAUUCUUAUUACAGAAGUAAGUGUUUAACACUAUUUACUACCACGAGAAUUUUAUAUACAUAUGUAAAAAAUGAAGGAGAUCUGAGAACGUCGUCAUUCACAUUGUAAGAAAUUGUUAAGUGAGUAAAAAGAAAGAAACGUGUACAUUAAUAUAUGGAAAUGCAACAGUUGUAUACAUAUUGUAGUAAAAGGAACAUUUCUAUGCGCAGGCUAUUCCACGCAGCUGGAACAAUCUAUAAUGUUAAAAUGAUCUAUAAUGUUAUAAUGUUAAAUGUUAAAAGGAAAAUAGAAAACAAUUUCAUUAAGAAAAAUUACACACAUGCACUACAUGAUUCAUCAUUGGAAACCAUUUAAUUUUUUUUAAUGAAAUGUUUUUCUAUUUGCUGCCGUUUUAACGCUAUGGCUUGUUCCAGUUGUAUCGAACACCUUGUAUACACACAUAUGUUACAUAAUAUAUUAUUGUUCAAAAGUACAUGGCUCGAAUGUAAUUUAUUUGCAAAACUACAAGAAUGAUGUUAUCUUUAUUAGAGCUAUUGUAUAAUAUUAUGAUACGACAAAAUAUAUUUAUAAAAAUUAAUAUCAGUAGGUAUCAAAUAUUAUACGGCUGUUUUGAUUGUCAAACUACAGAAAAGCUGGAGAUAAAGAAGAAUUGAUCGUGACAGAACUUUCAAAAAAUCAAGAACGGUACAAAAUCGCAGAGUAUGGCAUGCACAUUGUAAACACGAUUUUCUCGGUACCGCGUUCUCUGAGAUGGCCAACACGACAUAAAUUAUACUUGACCGAUAAACUUUAAAAGCAUACAUUACCAAGCGUAUCACAUUAAUUAGAAUAAUCAACAGAUCGUUUGUUUCAUUCCUUUCUUAUCUGCGAAAGAUUAUCUCGCUGGAUGACUAAGUGAUUUAAGCAAUGCGUAUCGAGUUCAGAAUUUAUACAAGGUCGUUGAUGAAAUACGGUAUCAUUUCCUGUUAACGAAUCAAUUAAUAUCUUCGAUUAAAAAAGCUUUAAAAAAUAUCACUCCACGUCGGAAUUUACUGUAAAAGGUGGGAAAUACGUUCUUUGUAUCACAUUCCACUCCAAUAAUUAAAUAAUAUGGCGUACACGGUUUAUGGGCAAUAUUUUGAUAAAAUUAAAAAGAUUUGAUAAAAUUAAAAGAUCUUUUUUCUUAAUAUCUGAAAAUAUAUUGGGAUCAUACAUUAUAGAGCAUUUACUUCCCCAACAAACACAAUAACUUAAUAUUAUACACUAUAUAUAAACUUAAUAUUUAUCAAGAUAUAAUACACAAGCCACGAUAAAGAGAUCGAAAAGUGUUUGUUGGUAAUAUUUAAUGAGCCGACAUAAAUAUUCGAAGUUGGACGCGGAAAUUGUAGCUUAAACCGUUUCUUUUUCAGCAUGCAACUUAAUAUUAACAAGAUUAAUUUCAACUUAAUAUCAACAGUUAAAUGUUACAAAUAUAGAAAAGUUACCUGUAGCUUAUAAUAAUGCAAUCGAUAGUGUUUUAUCAGGAAUGAAUUAUUAAUUAAAAAGAAUUGUUAUAUGUAUAUGUCCUCUUGCCCUGAUUCAAAUAAUGUUGUAUUCGAUGAAUUUGCGUUGAACACACAAAAAUUAGGCUUACUUUUACGCCUUUCCCGCCUUUUAAAUUCCGACUUGCCACACCAUUCGCAUCAAAUAUAUGAACAGUGUUUUAUCCAUGUACAAAUGAAUAAUUUUAACUCACUUAAACUUAUCACCACCGGUAAAAUUAACCGUGUUCAAAAUUUUGUGUACAAUUUCCUGUAUGUAACGUUAUCACAUCGCUGUUUAUUUCGACGAUCUUUCUUAAAACAUGUAUACAAUAAAUUUUUCAGUAUUUACUUCUCCUCUCAUUUUCUUUUUUUCCAAAAAAUAUACGUAGCCUCUCUUACCUACCGCGACCGAUCAAUUUGAUCAGUCGAGAAAUUUAUGAUAUUUACUUACUUAACUAUUUUCAGGCCGCAGAGUUGGACGACAUAGUGUACAAUUUUAUAAUUCGAGGAGUGAGUGAGGGAGGGAGGGAGGGAGGGGAAGAGAGAGGGAGAGAAAGAGAGAGCAUCACAGUAUAAAAGUUUUAAAGCAUUUUCUUUGCGUUAUAUGUUACAAGUGCAAAUUUGAAGAAAGAAGUAAGUGCGUAAUAUUUUGAUGUAAAUUUUCUAUUUCAUAUUUAAUGAAUUAUUCUGUAGCGAAUAUUUAUCCUAAAAAUGUCCACGCAUUGAAAAACUAUGAAGUCAUUAGACAAAAGGUAGAUAACAUGGACGAGAAGUGUUUGGAUAUUGAUGAACAGAAUCUUUCUGAAAUUGAAAAUAAAAUUGAAAAAGAUGAUGACCUAUUUGACAUAUCCAACGAAUUGACGAAUCCAGACACGGAUAAUGAAGAGAAGAGUAUCUUGAAUAAAACAAAAUGUAAAAGACAAAGGGGAAUGAGAUUAACAUUGAAGUACGAAAGUGAGUGUAAUGUAGAGGACCAACGCAUCGAAAUUGCUGCUGAUGGGACAGUUUCAUAGGAGAUAGAAGGUGGUUCCAAACCUGGAAGAGCACCAAUUCACAUAAUAUCUGUAGAGGAUUAUCAGGUCCGACAGGAUAUGCUAAACGAAAUGUUAUGAAAGGAAAAGUAGAGAUUGCAUUUUCUUUGAUCAUAGACUACCAUAUAAUGAAAAAUAUACGUGCACAGAGCGUGCACAGAAGCAGAAGCAUUUAGUUGGGGCCUAAUUAUUAUUUUUUUUUUUUUUAACUAUAAUUAAAUGCAUUUUGUUGCUCUGCUGUAUAUUCACGGGGCAUAUAAGGCAAAAGAUUUAGGCGUCUCAUAUUUGUGGAAUGGCCUUGAACAGAAAGUGAAAUUUACACAAUAGCGUAACAAAUAUAAAUGCAAAUAACUGGCCACAAUUGACUCGAGUCGUGAUGAACAACGCAAUAAUCAUUGCCUUCUCAACAAUUGCCAACAGUUAUUUGCGCAUACGCUGCUACGAAUGCAUAAUUAUUGAUAGAAUUCACUGUAGUGGUACCGACAGCUUCUUGCGAAUACCUGGGAAACCAAGAUCGACCGUCGACUAUAUAUAUAUAUAUAUAUAUAAAAUCAUCGAAAUCGGAGAGAACGUAGCUUCUUGCAGAUUCACGCAAUUAUAUUUCAAUUAUUUUUAUAAUUCGAUAUUUCAAUUCAAUUUAUAUAAAAUGUAAUUCUUUUUUAUUGCAUCAUUUAAAGAUAAUAUUUUGUCCAAUUUAUUAUGUUGACAGAAUCAUCGCCACAAAUAUUCAUAUCGCCGAAUUCUUCAUCAUGGUAGCAUGACUUCGCUCCGAUAAACCAAUGCUUUACUGGAUGCCAAGCCGCCUCCAUGUAUUAUGAAUUCUGCCUAUAAUUAUGCGUCCGUAAUAACGUAUGCAUUCGUAUUGUUUGACGGCGGUCCUGCAACGCUUGGAUACAGUGAUGACCCAGCACCAAAGUCCAAAAUUGUUGCGUGUUUUAUUUGUUAGGCUGCGAGACUUUUCCGAUUACGAAAAUAUAAGCUUGCAUGGUAGAGUUCUUAGCGUUGCGUAGUGCGGUUUCUUUGAUGACGAACGAAUUGCGAUAAGCAAUGAGUUAAAGGGCAAGCAGGGAAACGUGAAGAGGGAUCUCUACAAUAGACAUCACUGACCUAACAUAUACCUAACUCUUAUCUUUUCUUUAUAGUAUUCCGAAAUAACCGAAAUAACCGAAAAUACAAACAAAAGCUAAAGAAAUUACAAACAAAAGAGUUAGGUUUGAGUUAGGUCAUGACAUGUAUAGCCAUUGAAUAUAUUAGACAUAUCAUAUUGGAAAAUCUGACAUUUAUAAUCUUUUCGGAUCAUAAACUUAUUAUAUUUGCUUUCUAAUAAAAACUGGGAAAAUGUUCGAAAGACA